GGGGGCGAAACGGCUUCGACGGGGUGUGGAACGGACGCUGAGGCGACUAGGCAUUGGGGACCGCCUUAAUGGGCCCAAAUUCACAAUUGCCAACGACGAGCACUACGCUCCGGCUCUUGCUGCGGCCUAAACCGCAGUAAUAGCGGGGCCCCGACCUGGGCCCGGCAACAGAAGUCUUCGGAUAGGGUCAAGCCGGAAUUCGCAGGCCGGUUGAAAUCCAAGGGCGACCAGUUCUCCGAGGUUACGGGGGCGCGCCGACACCCGGCUGAAACGUUCGCGCGCAGCUAUGCCGGAAGAAUAGUCGUAACUCCUCACGCCUUAUUACGCAUUGCGGACCCGGGUUCGACUCCCGGCGCCUCCACCA
RNAcentral lists this transfer-messenger RNA (364 nucleotides) under Magnetofaba australis IT-1. It matches the Rfam family "transfer-messenger RNA". Rfam says of the family: Bacterial tmRNA, also known as 10Sa RNA or SsrA, is named for its dual tRNA and mRNA-like properties. Its role is to liberate the mRNA from a stalled ribosome. To accomplish this part of the tmRNA is used as a reading frame that ends in a translation stop signal. RNAcentral also lists the same sequence under 1 other name. The record is from Rfam by way of RNAcentral. Lineage: Bacteria; Pseudomonadati; Pseudomonadota; Magnetococcia; Magnetococcales; Magnetococcaceae.